UGACACAGGGAGGUAGUGACAAUAAAUAACAAUGCCGUGCCCUUUUGGGUAUGGCUUUUGGAAUGAGAGAAACACAGAAUCCACAUCGAGGAUCAAUUGGAGGGCAAGUCUGGUGCCAGCAGCCGCGGUAAUUCCAGCUCCAAUAGCGUAUAUUAAAGUUGCUGCAGUUAAAAAGCUCGUAGUUGCAUUUCCGAGGCAAGGGAUUAGUCCGACCUUUGGUGGGUAUUUAAUCCUCUUGCCUCGUCCUUGAGUGGUGCUUCUUGGUAUUAAGUUAUCGAGGAGAUAGCCGCUCAUCGUUUACUGUGAGAAAAUUAGAGUGUUCAAAGCAGGCUUAUGCCGUUGAAUAUAUUAGCAUGGAAUAAUAAGAUAGGACUAUGGUACUAUUUUGUUGGUUUGUGCACCAUGGUAAUGAUUAAUAGGGACAGUUGGGGGUAUUCGUAUUCCAUUGUCAGAGGUGAAAUUCUUGGAUUUAUGGAAGACGAACUACUGCGAAAGCAUUUACCAAGGAUGUUUUCAUUAAUCAAGAACGAAAGUUAAGGGAUCGAAGAUGAUUAGAUACCAUCGUAGUCUUAACCAUAAACUAUGCCAACUAGGGAUCGGCAGUUGUUCACAUAACACUGUCGGCACCUUAUGAGAAAUCAAAGUCUUUGGGUUCCGGGGGGAGUAUGGUCGCAAGUCUGAAACUUAAAGAAAUUGACGGAAGGGCACCACCAGGAGUGGAGCCUG
Molecule: ribosomal RNA, 726 nt
Filed under: uncultured marine eukaryote
Lineage: Eukaryota
Description: bacterial SSU rRNA
Rfam family: Eukaryotic small subunit ribosomal RNA
Source: RNAcentral